CAAUAGCGUAUAUUAAAGUUGUUGCAGUUAAAACGCUCGUAGUCGGAUUUCGGGGCGGGGCCGCCGGUCUGCCGAUGGGUAUGCACUGGCGGUCGCGUCCUUCCUUCCGGAGACUGGCCCUACUCUUAACUGAGCGGGGUCGGGAGACGGAUCGUUUACUUUGAAAAAAUCAGAGUGUUUCAAGCAGGCAGCUCGCUCUUGCAUGGAUUAGCAUGGGAUAAUGAAAUAGGACUUUGGUGCUAUUUUGUUGGUUUCGAACACCGAAGUAAUGAUUAACAGGGACAGUCAGGGGCACUCGUAUUCCGCCGAGAGAGGUGAAAUUCUCAGACCAGCGGAAGACGAACCACUGCGAAAGCAUUUGCCAGGGAUGUUUNCACUGA
RNAcentral lists this ribosomal RNA (380 nucleotides) under uncultured eukaryote. RNAcentral's name for it is "partial 18S ribosomal RNA". It matches the Rfam family "Eukaryotic small subunit ribosomal RNA", at positions 592 to 976 of the family's 1831-position model. The record is from RNAcentral.